Molecule: long non-coding RNA, 202 nt
Filed under: Homo sapiens (human)
Lineage: Eukaryota; Metazoa; Chordata; Mammalia; Primates; Hominidae
Description: HSALNT0325197
Source: RNAcentral
AAGGAGGUGCUGGCGUAGUCCGACUAGCAGCAGCCGCUGCUCCCCGGUGGUUCAGAGCCGCGCGAGCUGAGCGUUUCGCCUACAAAAGCAUCUUCGGAUCGGUUUCCCACCGCCGAAUGUUGCUUGAGCCAAUGUGACUGGCUCUAGGAGGAAAUAAAUCACAUCUGUCAAAAGAGCCUCGAGUCGAAGGAUAGGAGAAACC